GCGGGGAUGGCCGAGCUUGGCCAAAGGCGCGAGAGCGUAACUGCCGCGUGGCUUAGGACCUCGUGCGGAAGCGCUGCGUGGGUUCAAAUCCCACUCCCCGCA
This 102-nucleotide transfer RNA is filed under the name Candidatus Marsarchaeota G1 archaeon OSP_B. RNAcentral describes it as "tRNA-Leu". It matches the Rfam family "tRNA". From Rfam's summary of the family: Transfer RNA (tRNA) molecules are approximately 80 nucleotides in length. The record is from RNAcentral. Lineage: Archaea; Thermoproteati; Thermoproteota. RNAcentral also lists the same sequence under 4 other names.